GCACUGUAUGCCUAGUACGGCGAGUGAAGCGGCAACAGCUCAAAUUUGAAAGCUAGCCUUCGGGUUCGCAUUGUAAUUUGUAGAGGAUGCUUUGGGUAAAACGCCAGUCUAAGUUCCUUGGAACAGGACGUCAUAGAGGGUGAGAAUCCCGUAUGUGACUGGAAAUGUUAACCUAUGUAAAGCUCCUUCGACGAGUCGAGUUGUUUGGGAAUGCAGCUCUAAAUGGGAGGUAAAUUUCUUCUAAAGCUAAAUAUUGGCGAGAGACCGAUAGCGCACAAGUAGAGUGAUCGAAAGAUGAAAAGCACUUUGGAAAGAGAGUUAAAAAGCACGUGAAAUUGUUGAAAGGGAAGCGCUUGCAAUCAGACUUGUUUAAACUGUUCGGCCGGUCUUCUGACCGGUUUACUCAGUUUGGACAGGCCAGCAUCAGUUUCGGCGGCCGGAUAAAGGCAUUGGGAAUGUGGCCUUCACUUCGGUGGAGGUGUUAUAGCCCAGUGUGUAAUACGGCCAGCCGGGACUGAGGUCCGCGCUUCGGCUAGGAUGCUGGCGUAAUGGUUGUAAGCGACCCGUCUA
Molecule: ribosomal RNA, 570 nt
Filed under: Aureobasidium namibiae
Lineage: Eukaryota; Fungi; Ascomycota; Dothideomycetes; Dothideales; Saccotheciaceae
Description: eukaryotic LSU rRNA
Rfam family: Eukaryotic large subunit ribosomal RNA
Source: RNAcentral